UCACUCAGCCAUCUCUCC
Molecule: transfer RNA, 18 nt
Filed under: Urtica thunbergiana
Lineage: Eukaryota; Viridiplantae; Streptophyta; Magnoliopsida; Rosales; Urticaceae
Description: partial tRNA-Ser
Source: RNAcentral